GAGUCCCGUAUGGAGGUUCUUUGAGUACAAACACCUGCACACGACCAUAAGAUCAAAAUACAACAGCAGCAGCAGCAGCAACAAGAAGCAGAGCAGGAACUGAGAGACCAGUGAUCAGUCCACCAGAUCCUCCUGGACCUGCAGGUAGAAACAGGUGUGAGGUGUCAGCUGUCAGGCGGCACUCGUAUGUUCCAGUGUCAUUAAUCGUCACAUUCUUCAGGAUCAAAGACGCAUCUCCAUCCUUCAUCUGUUUGUCCUGCAGAUCCACCUGGUCCUUAAAGGAUGGAUGCUGGUUGGC
Molecule: long non-coding RNA, 298 nt
Organism: Archocentrus centrarchus (flier cichlid)
Lineage: Eukaryota; Metazoa; Chordata; Actinopteri; Cichliformes; Cichlidae
Exons: 3
Source: RefSeq, a predicted model, not a curated record